ACUCCGCCCUCCCCCUCGCGCCGGCCUUCCUGAGACGGCCCGCGGUCCCACAGAAGAACACCCCACCGCCUUAGCUCCCAAUCCGAAGCCUCCCUCCACCGCCGCCACCAACCUCUAGGCUCGCCUGGCCAAGUGGGGAGCAGAGCAGGGCGGGCGCGUGGCAGCGGCGGUCCUCCUACUCGCCGUCGUCGCACCGAACUCCCCGUUCGCUCGAGCCGCUCGCCCCCGCAACACCGACAUCGCGACGCCGCCCUCCCCAUCACGCCGCCACUGCGCGCAGCCGCGCCGUCGCCUUAGCACGCCCGUCCCCCCGCACCGCCGCUGUCGUGAUGUCCAGUCGUCCCCACCCUGUCGCGCUACCGCUACACCAUUGUCCCACCGACCCACGCCGACCGACGUUUCCUCUCCCGAUCACGGCCUCCCCCACCCGUCGUCGUCGACGCGCGAUGCUGUGGCCGCAGAAUCUCCGCGCGCAGAGGCGGCAGCGCGGCGCCUCCGGCCUCCCCCGCCGCGAAUCCCGACUCCCGCCACCCCGCCGUGAAUCCGCCGCCCUGCCCUGGUUCUGUGAAUCCCUCCUGUUCCCCUGCCUGCUCGCCCUGCUGCUCCUCCGCACCGUGCUUGACCCGGACUGAGGCGGCCGCUCUGCUCCCCCUCUAUUUCCGGCAUGACGGCAAAUUCAAGAUCCUCCAGGUGGCGGAAAUGCUCUUGGGGAACGGCGCCGCAACAUGCUGCCAACGUGGCGCCGGACGGCGGCGGUGCGCACUGCUCGGACCUCAACACCACUUAGUUUCUACGCCAGGUCAUCGAGGCGGAGAGGUCCGACCUCAUCGCCUUCACAAGUGCGGCUCUGCCUCCUCCUCCUCCUCAAGAGCUGCACCUCCUCCUCCUCCUCAGAGCUACAGUUGUUGUGCUCCAAAGCUUGCAGCCUUGGCUAAGCAGCUGAGCUAGCCUUGCUGUGCUUAGCUCACCUCGCUAGGUUGCACACACUAGGAUUGCAGGUGAGGCGGGGGAACUCGAUUUGAGCAGCGCUGACCUCAUGAGUAGAUCGGAGGAGCAGAGUUUGGCCACCGCCGAGCUCAAUUAUGCGUACUCUGCACAGCGGAACUCGAUUUCAUGGUCCUCGAGCUCGGUCAAAUUGUGAGCUUGCUCCCGUGGGCGAGAUUGCAAGCAGGAUGAGGAUGUCAAAGUGGCAUGAAGCAGUUUCAGCAGCGCAGGACCAUCCUCAUGGCAGCACAUAGCAGCGUUGGAGCGGGGCCAUCAUCAAGGCGGCGCUUAGCAGUCACCGCUGUGGAUCCGGGCUGUCAUCAAGGCUGCACUGGGGAGCUGCAGCAGCGGCUCUGAGCCAUCGCCCAAUAGCAAGCACAAGCAGCUGUCCAGCAGCAAGCUGCAACCUGCAAGCAUAAGCAGAGCUAUUGCAAUAACGUCGUACACAGACGCAGCAUUAAGGUGGAUAAGGAGAUGAAGGUGAAGCAGAUACCAAUAGCACAUCAGACUUGUGCCUAAAGGAUAGCAGGUUCGGAGUUCUCUUGUCUCCUCUUUUAAUCUGAUUAACCAUUUUGCUAAUGAAUCAUUUAAUAAUUAUAGGUACAAAUUGUGAAUUUCUAUCAGAUUAUCAUGAUAAUUGAAAUUCUAUAAUUUAUACUGCAAUUAAGGCGCAACAUAUUGCGAAACACAAUAUAUAGGGUUAAUUUUUUAUAUAUUCUUUCUUUCUCAAUUACUUAGCAGUGCCUAAAUUAUAUCAAUGGUUGCAAGAUUGAUCAGCCGCGUGCAAGUAAAGAGAAAUCUGUUGCAUUUGGUACUCAUAAUUCUCUAACAUGUAGUGCUGAGGAUUUUCCUUUAAAUUCCAUAACUGUUGUUAGCUAUUUCUGUUUUCCAGCUGCAGAGUCAUGCUUUCAUAAUAGGUAAUUAACUGAGAAUGUACUAUGAAGUGCACAUAGGUAAUUUGGUCCUAUAUGAGCUUAUAUGCAGAGCGAUGCUCCAUUAUUUCACUAAAAGUAUUAUUUUAUGGUCUCAUAUUCCUACCAUCUGGAAAGCUGUACAAUGCGUCUUCGGAGCACUUCCAUUUCAAUGUAUUCUUUUUUACCCUUGUGUGUACAUGAUAUAGUUAUUUGUCAGAAAGAAGUGCAUGAAACGAAUUUGAUCUAAUUGCUACAAGUCAACAAAAUUGGAAUGAUUAUAGCCUGAUUCUUCAACUUUCGGAGCACUAGCUUUUCAGAGAAAUAUGGGACCAUGGUAUGAAUAAACUACAUGGCAACACUAGCCUACAUGAACUUAUAUGAAUAUGUUUUAACUUCAAAAUUGAUUAUAUAAAAUGAUUCUUUAGGAUAGAUGUAGUAGAUUACUUUUUCUACAAGUUACAAGAUCCUAUUUUUUUCAGGAUGAUAAUCAAAUGGAUGAUUGGUCAGGUCAAGAUUUUUGCUUGGAAAGUUGAACAAUAGUUUACCAACAAAUACUAACAAAUGCUACUGUCACAUUUAGCAGCACAGCUUGUGCGGGUUAUGCGGUUAUCCAGUAGAGGAUUGUUUUCAUGCCUGCAUUAGCUGCCUGCAUGCCACAGCCCUUUGUUAUGCUACAAGGAACACUGGUUAUUACCAAGUAGAAGGAUAUGGUUCAUAUUGGUCUUGAGUGAGUGAUGCGUCUUACUGAUUAGUAUCAGGCUGAGCUAACUGCUAAUUUCCUCAUGCUUAUAUGGAGAAUUUGGAUUGUUAAAAAUAAUAUCUUGCUCCGUUGGGUGCAAAAAUUUCAAUAGAUGGUUUUGUUGUCUUUCUAACAUGCUAUAUGGAAUCACUAUAUCAAAUCAGCCAAGUGUGAUUAAGCAUAAAAGUAGUGCAAUCUGAUUAGGACUGAAGUGCCAACUGUGAUAAAGCAGAAAAGCCAUGUUCAGAGAUGGAUUCCACAAGCUACGGAUACUUUCAGAAAUAAUAUUGCCGGCUGUGGGAAUCAUCAUUAGGGACCAUGAGGGGAAACUUAAACUAAUAGCUUGGAGAGGAUUCUAUUUCACUGCAGGGACCAAAGGAGCCUGAGUCUACUGCAUGAUGGAAGGGUAUUUGUUUGGACUAACGCUGGCAUGAUAUCCCCGUGGUUCUUGAAACAGAUUGUGCAAAUAUGGCGAGCAAGCUUCAAGCGACAUUGCUGGACAUAUCCUUAGUGCGCCCCUUGAGGAAAGGCGACAGCUAGAGCAUGAGUUAAAUUUUGCCUUUUUCUUCUAUCUUCCAGAGUGCAUGAGGACCCCUAUCUCUUAUUCUGCAAAAAAGUUUUGUUCAUUGAAAUAUAAAGUUUGUUUUUAAGGUUUAGAAAUUUAUUAGGAAUGCAGUGCCAAUUGAUAUUGGGGUUGCAAACUUAGGCUUCUAUUAUAUUGCCAGUAGGUUGGAGAAUGGACAAUGGGAUGGAUACAUCACAAGACGAAUUAGACAAGUUAGGGUGUAGUUCGUAUUCUAGGGAGUAUUUAUGAAGGGUCACAUUUGUUCAUUAAAAAUGUUUGCAAAAUUCUAAAUUGUUUGAAUUGGUUGCA
This is a long non-coding RNA of Panicum hallii, 3511 nucleotides long. RefSeq lists it as uncharacterized. NCBI's taxonomy places the organism in Eukaryota, Viridiplantae, Streptophyta, Magnoliopsida, Poales, Poaceae. The transcript is spliced from 4 exons. The record is from RefSeq and is a predicted model, not a curated record.